AUUUGAUUGCAUGUCAGAAUUUUCCAGUCUGAAAAAACACCUCAUUAAACGUAUUACAUUACUGAAACAUUUCUCUGAACAGUUUGAUCUCAGCCAUGAAAUGGAAUCUGAUAUGAUAGAUGUGUGCAAGGGUGUGACUAAAAUCUAUCAUUACAUAAUUGCUCUGCCACCUGAUGUUACAGAACUAGAAACACAAAUUCCAGAAGUUAUUACCCCUGAAGAGAAGUUACAUAAUAUGGAAGUGGUAAGCGAUUAAAAAAAAA
Molecule: long non-coding RNA, 263 nt
Filed under: Moschus moschiferus (Siberian musk deer)
Lineage: Eukaryota; Metazoa; Chordata; Mammalia; Artiodactyla; Moschidae
Description: lncRNA (ENSMMSG00000010618.1)
Source: RNAcentral